Long non-coding RNA from Misgurnus anguillicaudatus (oriental weatherfish), 1650 nucleotides. RefSeq lists it as uncharacterized. Lineage: Eukaryota; Metazoa; Chordata; Actinopteri; Cypriniformes; Cobitidae. The record is from RefSeq and is a predicted model, not a curated record.
CAUUGUCACAAGGUGACAAUCUUUUUUUUAAGGGCGGAACCAAAGUUCGGGAAGUUUUGGUUCCGCCCGGAAAGUUUCCCCACCGGGCCAUAUAUGAGGACGGACCUUCUCACUUCCUGGUUGCCAGGACGACGGAAUUAGGGCUUGACGAGCUGCAGGUGAGAGGGAUUAAGGCAGCGAAACAUGAUUGGAGGCCGGUUGAAAUAAAUAGCUCUGCUGAAACACAAGAAGGGGAGUUCGGGCACGAGAAGGGAGGCACGCGGGGAAAGCUCCUCUGCCUAGGGCAGGAACAGUAAAUACGUACCUUUUGAAGAGCCCGCAGGCUCUGUUGAUCCGGGCUGCGCUUGGAGCGCGCGGAGAGAAGACAGGAGCUGUCUGGGGCGAAAGGAAGACGAUACGUGGGUGGAGAAAAGGAGCACCCCGAAGAGAGCAUUGUGCUGUCAAGUUUGUUUUAGUGUGUGCAGAGGAACGGAGCUGUGCUCGUGAUAGACGUGGUGGCUGUCUAUAUUUUCUCUCUCUCUCUCUCGCUGCAGUCUGCGGUGCAAACGCUGGAGUUAAAGGAAAACCCUACGGGUAGAAGAAACAUUGGUCUGAGUGGCACAUUUAAAAGAGUAAAGCGGGAAGGAAACCGACUUUGUGGCACAACAUAAAUAAAGGAGGAUCGCUGUGAGUAUCACUCUUGUGCUAAGCACUUGUAAACCUAACCUGUGAAAUUGUGUGGAUACCUCCAGGAGAGGGAGGGCGGCCCUGCCCCUGAAACAGCGUGGUGGGUGAGCCGUUAGAAGCGUCAAUCCAAGCAGCCACAGCAACGAAAUACUAUUCUGGACGUAUUUUCCAUCGCCCUUAUUUCAGCCCAAGUGAAGUGGAGGACGCCGGGCGUUUCCUUUGUUGUGUACACUUAUAGUGUGACGAAGCCCCGCAUCAUCCAUUUUUCUACUGGGCAGAGGACGGAGAGGCUAACGACCUCAGAAUUUACAGCUACCAUACGCAGUGUGCUGUUUUGGAGUGUGAAGGGACGCAGAUCAAGAGCUGUCAGUGACUGUGAGUACAAUAUUGGAAAUAUUCGUGGUGCAAACUUACCUGUGUCUGUCCUUGUCGCAGAGUCGGAGGCGAGAGGGUCCGCCGCCCCCGCGGUCUCUACAAAGGGGCGCCCCUGUCCGGGAUUCGAUCGUCCGACGGGCAGUGGAGAUAGGGCAGCGCUCGACCCGGUGAGGUGGUGUGUGACCUUCGCCCCUCUGCUGACCUAUGGAGGAAACCAUACUUAUCAAGAGCUGUAAGAAGCAGAGCAGGCGAGAAGCAUCCAAAGCCCACGUAACAGUGUUUUGUGUCCUAGUGGCCACCUGUGGAGGGAAAGGAGAACGAGAGCGUACAUUAAGAAAACAGACUGAGUAAAGUGAUACCUACCCAGAGAGCUAUAAACAGCAGAGCCGGUGAGAAAUACUCAAAAUCCAAGUUAACAGUGUUUUUGUGUCCCAGCGGCCACCUGUGGAGAGAAAGGAGAACGAGUAAUGCACGCCAAGAGAAUGGACUGUGUGAAGAUCCAGUGGGUGGUGAAGGAGGAGAGCCUAGAGUGGCCAUUAUUUUAAGUCCCCCUUUUUCCCUUCCCUAUUUAUCAUUUUUAAGUAAUUAAAUAAAGUACAUUUUAAUUUA